GACAGGAUACUAAAUAGCACCAUUUUUAUAUAGCACCAUUAAAUACAACCCAAUCGCAAUUAUAAAAUAAAUAAAUAUAAAUAAAUAGGACUUCUCUCUGCUAUGACCAGGGCUUUGUUUCUCAAAAGCAUCGUAGGCCCAAGUAGAUCGUAGAACCAUUGUCAACACUCACGAUGCUUUUCAGAAACACAGUCCUGUAUCUACAUUAAUAAUUUGAUAUUUAUGAUGACGUAAUAUUUUGUUAAGCUACUUUCCAUCUUCCAUCCAUGUCGUGUUUGUUUCACAAGGGAGACAAUGAAGUGCUGAGAUCAGCAAGGCACCUUUUGUCACUAUUGACACAAGAAAAAGCUGAUGGGCCUUCUACGAGUCAGGGUCUAAACAGAUCAUCUAAUGUCAGAUGCCAAACUCCGGGGCCAUCUUCUGUUCAAACAGAAAUGACCAGGUCCUUUCCUGGAUUAUUUUCAAAUCGUAGAGGAAAACGGCGCUUCACC
Molecule: long non-coding RNA, 491 nt
Organism: Megalobrama amblycephala (Wuchang bream)
Lineage: Eukaryota; Metazoa; Chordata; Actinopteri; Cypriniformes; Xenocyprididae
Exons: 3
Source: RefSeq, a predicted model, not a curated record